RNAcentral lists this ribosomal RNA (542 nucleotides) under uncultured bacterium. RNAcentral's name for it is "bacterial SSU rRNA". It matches the Rfam family "Bacterial small subunit ribosomal RNA", at positions 356 to 896 of the family's 1533-position model. The record is from RNAcentral.
GAGGAAUAUUGGUCAAUGGGCGAGAGCCUGAACCAGCCAAGUAGCGUGCAGGAUGACGGCCCUAUGGGUUGUAAACUGCUUUUAUGUGGGGAUAAAGUGAGCUACGUGUAGUUUAUUGCAGGUACCACAUGAAUAAGGACCGGCUAAUUCCGUGCCAGCAGCCGCGGCAAUACGGAAGGUCCAGGCGUUAUCCGGAUUUAUUGGGUUUAAAGGGAGCGUAGGCCGUGGAUUAAGCGUGUUGUGAAAUGUAGACGCUCAACGUCUGAAUUGCAGCGCGAACUGGUUCACUUGAGUAUGCACAACGUAGGCGGAAUUCGUCGUGUAGCGGUGAAAUGCUUAGAUAUGACGAAGAACUCCGAUUGCGAAGGCAGCUUACGGGAGCACAACUGACGCUGAAGCUCGAAGGUGCGGGUAUCAAACAGGAUUAGAUACCCUGGUAGUCCGCACAGUAAACGAUGGAUGCCCGUUGUUAGUUCACUUAAGAAUUAGCGACCAAGCGAAAGCAUUAAGCAUCCCACCUGGGGAGUACGCCGGCAACGGUG